AUUGAACGCGGGCGGCAUGCUUUACACAUGCAAGUCGAACGGCAGCACGGGGGCAACCCUGGUGGCGAGUGGCGAACGGGUGAGUAACACAUCGGAACGUGCCCGGUUGUGGGGGAUAACCUAUCGAAAGGUAGGCUAAUACCGCAUGAGCUCGGCAAGAGGAAAGCGGGGGACUCAGCGAUGGGCCUCGCGCGACUGGAGCGGCCGAUGUCCGAUUAGCUAGUUGGGGGGUAAAGGCUUACCAAGGCGACGAUCGGUAGCUGGUCUGAGAGGAUGAUCAGCCACACUGGGACUGAGACACGGCCCAGACUCCUACGGGAGGCAGCAGUGGGGAAUUUUGGACAAUGGGGGCAACCCUGAUCCAGCCAUGCCGCGUGAGUGAAGAAGGCCU
RNAcentral lists this ribosomal RNA (391 nucleotides) under uncultured bacterium. RNAcentral's name for it is "bacterial SSU rRNA". It matches the Rfam family "Bacterial small subunit ribosomal RNA", at positions 29 to 417 of the family's 1533-position model. The record is from RNAcentral.